UAAUGUCUGCGACAACAUUGUUGCUAGCUAGUUAUAGAAAAUACAUUUGCUUUUUAUAAAAUAAUUACAAACUAGGUUUAUUGAAACACAUUACUCCAUGCAUUGGCAAGUGACAUUAACUGCGUGCACGUUCGGUACAGUGUUGCCAACUAAAUUUCAGAGAAAGUUGCUAGAGGCAGGUCGAUUUGUUGCUAAAAGUUGCUAAAUGACGUUGGAUGUCAUUGCGUGACGUAGUAACGUAAAACUGCGUCAUUACACAGAAUACACAAUAACGUUACUCAAAUUGACUGGCCAUCUCGGCGAAAAACAUGAUUUGACAUUUGAAUCCUACAGACGAAGAACCAUAUAUGUGACAUUUAAAAAAAUAAAAAAAAGAGAUAUACAUGAAAAAUCAUUAUUGGACACCAUUUUUCUAUAGUGAACCGGUUUCACAAGCUUUCCACGCGCUAAUUAACAAUAAUUUUAAAUUUAAAGAUAGGCUCUCGUGGAAUAACCGUUUAUGUGCACCACUCAGAAUGGAAGGACAAGCGCACAACCUUUCUGUUGCUGAUGAAAAUCGCAGAAAUGUGGGAAAGAAACGUAAAACAAAACUAAAAGAAUGGAAAGACAGGCAAAGGAAGAUCUUACGGGAUGCAGGAAAUCCCUAUACAAAUCGUAAGGGUCAAGAAAAAACUGGGAAAAGCUGUCCAAAAGAGGUAUGUGGAAGAACCGUAUAUCAAACAAUCAAGCUAGCUAGCUAUAGAGUACAGUAACUAACAUGUAUGUUCUGGGUUGUCUAAUUUUUAACUAUAGAGAAAACAUAUUAGCUAAAGUUCGUUGCCUACUAACUCAUACAUUAUCGUUACAAAUGUUAUUGCUAGAUUAUAGAAGAAACAUAGCUAAGCUACUUUUUCUCCAUCCACCGGCUGAUUCGACAUGGCUACAGUAGCUAGCUAGUUACACUGUAUCCUGCAGGGAAGAGCGUGUUCCACGACGUGCAGAAAGGAUUGUGGAAAGUUGACUGAUGAACGCAAGCUGCAUCUGUUCAACAGUUUCUACACUGUCCCAUACGAGAAACAACAAGCGUUGAUUCUCUCCGGCUUAGAACAGCAUGAGGUGAAACGGAGACGUAAACCUGAGGAUACAAAGGAGAACAAACGACGGAAACAAACCUUCAAAUACCAUGUACAGCAAGCAGGCCAGAGAUUGAAUGUGUGCAAGGUUACUUUCAUGUCAGUGUUCCAGCUAACACAGCUGUCUUCAGGCAAGUGAAAAUAUGAAUUAAUGUCUAUAUGAAUAUCAAUUACAAACAUAUUGUAUUCUCUGUACUAGUUUUUAAUAACCUGCUAAUUGAAAUGUAAUUGUUUUGGUCAGGUUAUUCAGGAAAAGUUAGCUGAGUCAGGUGAGGUUGCAGGGUCUCCAGAUCAGGCUACUUUAGAAGAUGGAAGCAUAGCAAUAGGUAAUGCGCUAUGGAUUCCAGCCUGGAUUAUUUCACUAUAGCAGUGCUCUAAACAAUCUUCUAAACAUUAACAUAGAGUAUCGAAUGGAUGAAUAGCGAAUUCUGAAACAAAAAUGUAAAAAUGUUUAUUACUUUUAAACAAAAUGAUGGUAACUAAGCUGUCCAACUACCACCUGAGCAUUGAGGACUGAGUGCCGAUUACCUUCCCCCUCCCACCAGACAGCACUGGCCUAAUUCUCGCCGCCCUACAGGCGGCAAUGGCGUGACCAGGAUUUGUACCCCGGUUAUAGCGACGCAGUUGCACUCUAAGGCAGGUCCCUAGACCAUUGAGAGAAUACAAGUUUAACAACACCUUGUUGUCUCCUUACAGGCCACAUCGGAUACAUGCUACAGUGAAAGAGGGCAUCAAGGAGCACAUUCUAUCUUUCCCAAGAACCCAGAACCACUACUCUCGGAUGAAGGGGGAUGUACACAGAGAAUACCUCAGCCCUGAUCUGAAUUUGUUGGCGAAUGUACCGACUCUACAAAGAGAAGAAUACCACAUCAUCUGCAAAAUUCUGGGUUUAUAGGGACAUUUUCAAACAGCAGAGUCUCAAUUUUGGCCAACCCAGGAGUGACACCUGUGGCAAAUGUGACGCAUUCUUCACUAAGAUGUCAGCAGCAACAUCUGAAGAGGAGAAGAGGAAGAUUGCAGUUGAAAGUGAGUUGCACCAUCGAAAAGGCCUACACACAGCUUCAAAGUGACACUGAGUGGGCUAAAGCCAAUGCUGACUGCCAUGUCAUUUCUGUGGAUCUACAGGGGGUGAUGUACACCCCUAAUCUGACCCACUCCAAUGUCUACUACCAGCGGCAGCUGUCAAAUUUUAACUUUUGCAUCCAGGAACUUGGAAAAGAAGAUCCUGCAUACAUGUGUGUUUGGCAUGAGGGGAUUGCGCACCGAGGGUCCAUUGAGGUGGCAAGCUGCAUAAUGAAGUGGGUGAAGACAAAAUUCACGCCACUCACCAAACCAGAGGUGCAAGUUGAUCAUAUUCAGUGACAGAUGCUGUGGGCAGAAUAACAACUGGCGGAUGCUCAAUCUGAUGUCGAUGCUCGUCUCUAUGGGUUACUUUACCCAAGUUGAGCAGAAGUUCAUGGUCUCUGGUCAUUCUUUUCUUCCUUGUGAUCGAUCUUUUGCCACCAUCGAGAAGAGGCGCAAGGUGUCAGUCCUUCAUACACCUGAUGAUGUUUCAAAGAUGAUACUUGAAGCACAACCAGCAAAACCAUUCAAGGUGAUGAGGAUGCAAUGUGAAGACUUCAGGCACCUCCCAGAUUCUGUCCUCAAGCGACCAGCUGGACUACAGAUCACCUCAGUGAGGUGGUUAAAAGUCACAGUUGAGGAUCCUUGGAAUCUGUACACCAGACAGAGCCACAGACUAUUUGAGGGAUGGAAAUCGUGGCUGAUCUCCAAACCAAAACAAGGAGCUACACCUCAACCUCCCUAUUUUGCAAGCCGCUACCCUAGAGCAUAUGAGAGUCCUCUGCCCAUCAAAAAAAAAGUACCAAGAUCUGAUGACCAUGCUGAACUCCUUGCCAGCUGCUGCACGCUCUUUUUAUGAAUCACUGCAGAGUGAAUCAUUUGUUGUUAAACCAAGCUACAUAAUUAACUGUUUUUUCUGUGAGUUUAUGAUCCCAUGAACCUGUAUACUGUAGUAUGUUGAAUCUGUAUACAUUUCAGAAGACAUGUCACCCCUAUUGUAGGAAAUGAAAUGUAUCGUAGGUGUUUUCUAUGUGAAUCAAUUUGUGUAUGAUUUGAACCAGCACAAUAUAUUGAAUUAAUUUAAUUUUAAGAUGUUGUUCCUAGUGUAGAAAAUGUUAUGUACAAUGUGUUCUGUUGAUAAUUAUUUUGUGUGUGAUCAUUUGACCCUUUUUUAAUCUGAAUGAAUUAAAAACAAAUAAGUCAUCACAUACAGUAUGUGAGUUCAUUUGA
This is a long non-coding RNA of Oncorhynchus kisutch (coho salmon), 3404 nucleotides long. RefSeq lists it as uncharacterized. Lineage: Eukaryota; Metazoa; Chordata; Actinopteri; Salmoniformes; Salmonidae. The record is from RefSeq and is a predicted model, not a curated record. The transcript has 3 exons.